Molecule: long non-coding RNA, 204 nt
Filed under: Capsicum annuum
Lineage: Eukaryota; Viridiplantae; Streptophyta; Magnoliopsida; Solanales; Solanaceae
Description: long non-coding RNA (CANN_LNC010843)
Source: RNAcentral
AACACUUGAAAAUGCUAAAAAGAGGGAAAAGUGAGUUAUUUUCUCAAUAGUUUUCAGCAAAUCAAAUAAGUGAAAACUUCAAAAACAAAGAAAAAAUCGACUCGUUUUUCAAAUUCUGGCAACUAAAACGUCAAUUCCUAGCAAAUUCAACAAGUGAAAACUGCAAAAAAUGAAGGAAAAAUUGAUUCUUUUCUCUAAUUCCGG